GACGAACGCUGGCGGCGUGCCUAACACAUGCAAGUCGAGCGGAGAUAUAUGGAAGGUUUACCGGAAAUAUAUCUUAGCGGCGGACGGGUGAGUAACGCGUGGGCAACCUGCCUCAUACAGGGGGAUAACACAGGGAAACUUGUGCUAAUACCGCAUGAAAUCAUAGUAUGGCAUCAUACAAUGAUCAAAGGAGCAAUCCGGUAUGAGAUGGGCCCGCGUCCGAUUAGCUAGUUGGUGAGGUAACGGCUCACCAAGGCGACGAUCGGUAGCCGAACUGAGAGGUUGAUCGGCCACAUUGGGACUGAGACACGGCCCAGACUCCUACGGGAGGCAGCAGUGGGGAAUAUUGCGCAAUGGGGGAAACCCUGACGCAGCAACGCCGCGUGAAGGAGAAGGCCUUCGGGUUGUAAACUUCUUUCGUAUUAGGGGACGAUAAUGACGGUACCCUAAAACAAGACCACGGCUAACUACGUAGCCAGCAGCCGCGGUAAUCAUACUCGUACG
RNAcentral lists this ribosomal RNA (504 nucleotides) under uncultured bacterium. RNAcentral describes it as "bacterial SSU rRNA". It matches the Rfam family "Bacterial small subunit ribosomal RNA", at positions 28 to 531 of the family's 1533-position model. The record is from RNAcentral.